Molecule: long non-coding RNA, 366 nt
Organism: Jaculus jaculus (lesser Egyptian jerboa)
Lineage: Eukaryota; Metazoa; Chordata; Mammalia; Rodentia; Dipodidae
Exons: 3
Source: RefSeq, a predicted model, not a curated record
GAGAUGAAGGAUCCAUCAGCCAGUGAUGUUCACCAUUUAAGUAAAGCAGCCCUAUUGAGAUUGACAUUGUCCAUCUGAAGACUUCACUAGAAACAAGAUUGGACAAAAAUCUCCUGGAGCCCAUCUGGACUGACUCCAACUGAGUCCUGGCAACUUUCACUACAGUUAAGCCUCAUGGAUUUUCUCCCUCAAUCCAACUUUCCUGUUCUAGGCUCACUUCUCAGCCAGUCCAAGAUUUACCAGCUCUGUCAAUGAUGAGCCCACCGGGGAGCUGCACUUACUGUUCAAGAAGACUUCAAGUGCUAUAAAUCCUGAUUGCCGAGACACUUAACACUUAUGGACCACGUUGUUGCUUCAAGCUCUCUU